RNAcentral lists this ribosomal RNA (253 nucleotides) under uncultured bacterium. Its description in RNAcentral is "partial 16S ribosomal RNA". It matches the Rfam family "Bacterial small subunit ribosomal RNA", at positions 524 to 776 of the family's 1533-position model. The record is from RNAcentral.
UACGUAGGGUGCGAGCGUUGUCCGGAAUUAUUGGGCGUAAAGAGCUUGUAGGCGGUUUGUCGCGUCUGCCGUGAAAAUCCGGGGCUCAACCCCGGACUUGCGGUGGGUACGGGCAGACUAGAGUGUGGUAGGGGAGACUGGAAUUCCUGGUGUAGCGGUGAAAUGCGCAGAUAUCAGGAGGAACACCAGCGGCGAAGGCGGCGCUCUGGCUCGCAACUGACGCUCAGACACGACAGCAUGGGGAGCGAACGGG